AUGAUUCUGGGCUAUUCGCCCGAUGAGAGCCAGAGCAUCGCUAACCGGCUUAACUGUCGAUUGGGGACAUUCCCCACUACCUACCUGGGGGUCCCCAUUAGUGACUCCCGCCUGACCGUGGCCGACCUACGACCCUCGGUGCUCAAGCUCCAACACCGCAUCGAGCCGUGGCAGGGUCGUUGGCUCUCUAAGGCGGCUCGUACGAUCCUCAUCAACUCGUCCCUUUCCAGCCUCCUCCUAUUCAUCAUGAGCUUCUACAGCUUCCCCGAGACUCUCCACCAUGAGAUUGGUCUGGUCCAGGCCCGGUUCUAUUGGGCGGGCGAGGGCGACAAGAAAAAGUACCAUAUGGUGCGCUAGUCUGAAAUCUGCAAGCCCCGGGAUCAAGGUGGUCUUAGUAUCAUGUCCUCCAAGCGCAUGAACCUGGCACUCCUCACUCGUUGGCUCUGGCGCAUUGCGAAUGGCGAUGGCGGCCUGUGGUUG
Molecule: ribosomal RNA, 480 nt
Filed under: Triticum aestivum (bread wheat)
Lineage: Eukaryota; Viridiplantae; Streptophyta; Magnoliopsida; Poales; Poaceae
Description: partial small subunit ribosomal RNA
Source: RNAcentral